Molecule: ribosomal RNA, 468 nt
Filed under: uncultured bacterium
Lineage: Bacteria
Description: partial 16S ribosomal RNA
Rfam family: Bacterial small subunit ribosomal RNA
Source: RNAcentral
GACGAACGCUGGCGGCGUGCUUAACACAUGCAAGUCGAACGGAAAGGCCCUGCUUUUGUGGGGUGCCCGAGUGGCGAACGGGUGAGUAACACGUGAGUAACCUGCCCUUGACUUUGGGAUAACUUCAGGAAACUGGGGCUAAUACCGGAUAGGAGCUCCUGCUGCAUGGUGGGGGUUGGAAAGUUUCGGCGGUUGGGGAUGGACUCGCGGCCUAUCAGCUUGUUGGUGGGGUAGUGGCUUACCAAGGCUUUGACGGGUAGCCGGCCUGAGAGGGUGACCGACCACAUUGGGACUGAGAUACGGCCCAGACUCCUACGGGAGGCAGCAGUGGGGAAUAUUGCACAAUGGGCGGAAGCCUGAUGCAGCAACGCCGCGUGCGGGAUGACGGCCUUCGGGUUGUAAACCGCUUUCGCCUGUGACGAAGCGUGAGUGACGGUAAUGGGUAAAGAAGCACCGGCUAACUACGUG